Molecule: ribosomal RNA, 456 nt
Filed under: Neisseria sicca
Lineage: Bacteria; Pseudomonadati; Pseudomonadota; Betaproteobacteria; Neisseriales; Neisseriaceae
Description: bacterial SSU rRNA
Rfam family: Bacterial small subunit ribosomal RNA
Source: RNAcentral
AUUGAACGCUGGCGGCAUGCUUUACACAUGCAAGUCGGACGGCAGCACAGAGAAGCUUGCUUCUUGGGUGGCGAGUGGCGAACGGGUGAGUAACAUAUCGGAACGUACCGAGCAGUGGGGGAUAACUAAUCGAAAGAUUAGCUAAUACCGCAUAUCUUCUGAGGAAGAAAGCAGGGGACCAUUUGGCCUUGCGCUGUUUGAGCGGCCGAUAUCUGAUUAGCUAGUUGGUGGGGUAAAGGCCUACCAAGGCGACGAUCGGUAGCGGGUCUGAGAGGAUGAUCCGCCACACUGGGACUGAGACACGGCCCAGACUCCUACGGGAGGCAGCAGUGGGGAAUUUUGGACAAUGGGCGCAAGCCUGAUCCAGCCAUGCCGCGUGUCUGAAGAAGGCCUUCGGGUUGUAAAGGACUUUUGUCAGGGAAGAAAAGGGCGGGGUUAAUACCCCUGUCUGAUGAC